This is a non-coding RNA of Schizosaccharomyces pombe (fission yeast), 795 nucleotides long. Lineage: Eukaryota; Fungi; Ascomycota; Schizosaccharomycetes; Schizosaccharomycetales; Schizosaccharomycetaceae. The record is from the annotation of a GenBank genome assembly.
AUCUUUGUUAGUGCUUUAUGGUAAAUAUUUGCGGUCGUAAACAGAAAUUCGCUCUUUACAGCCCACAAUCAAAUGCUCCAACUUAUCGACGGGUGAGUUGAUCCAAAGAAUAUCUGAUAAAUCAGUAAUUUCCUCUUGAGCUUCUCUGCUAGGUAAGCUUUCGAGAGUUGAAAGUUUAUCGUCCUGCCUCAAGAAAAAGACUCUUCCAUCAGAUGCACUAAUCGCGAAUUCCGGACGAUUUACAGCAAACGCAAUACCAGUCAAAGAGACUUUGCUAAUCGAUUUCUCUGCAAGCAAUUCCUCACUCUUUACAUCGAACACUCGCACCAUGCCAUUUUCAUGCAGAGAAUAUAAGCGAUCAGGGUUACCAUUUUUCCAUACGAUCUUGUUGAUCCUGUCUUUAACAGCCGGAUUACCAAUAGCAGAAUUUCCAGCAAUGCGCAUUUGGCUUACAAGAAUUUGGGUAUCUAAAUCAUAAAAUCGAACAUUCCCAUCGUUAUAGGCAAUAGCAAUUCUACUAUCGGUAACUGACAUAGAUAAAGGCUGCUUAGAAUCACAUCUUAUCUUGAACAAUUGUUCACCAGUAUAUUUCCAACCUCGCACAGUACCAUCAGAUGAUAAUGAGAGUAAGAUUGGGUUGUUGUCUUUAACUUCAUGACAAAAUAGCUCCCAAACACAAUCUUCAUGUCCCUGAAAAAUAGUGGAUCCAGUCAGGAUUUUCGAUAUUGAGUCAGACGUUUGAUUAGCCGGCAAACUCCAACAUCUGAUAGUACCGUCAUGACCUCCACUAAAUAU